This is a long non-coding RNA of Carassius auratus (goldfish), 182 nucleotides long. RefSeq lists it as uncharacterized. Lineage: Eukaryota; Metazoa; Chordata; Actinopteri; Cypriniformes; Cyprinidae. The transcript is spliced from 2 exons. The record is from RefSeq and is a predicted model, not a curated record.
UGGCAGUCAACCCACAUGUUGCCACUCUUCUGUGCAAAUUCCAAUGGAAUUUCUGAAAUUCACACUUUGAAUCCUGGGAUGGAACUUCAUCUGGAGCAUAAUUGUUAUUUGGUUGAUUUUUAUCUGUUUGAUGGAAAGUUUGUAUGACUUCUGCAAGUGCGCGGCUCCUUCCGGUCAGUCAU